Molecule: transfer RNA, 74 nt
Filed under: Anaerolineae bacterium
Lineage: Bacteria; Bacillati; Chloroflexota; Anaerolineae
Description: tRNA-Arg
Rfam family: tRNA
About the family: Transfer RNA (tRNA) molecules are approximately 80 nucleotides in length. Their secondary structure includes four short double-helical elements and three loops (D, anti-codon, and T loops).
Source: RNAcentral
GCGCCUGUACCUCAAUUGGAUAGAGGGGCGGCCUACGAAGCCGACCGUUGUGGGUUCAAGUCCCGCCAGGCGCG